UCCCUUUUCCCCCAUCCCUCAUUCUCUGGCAGCCACAAUCUUAUUCUGUCUCUAUGAAUUGACUACUUAAAGUACCUCAUACAGGUAGAAUGAUACAUUUGGAUUUUUUGUGUCUGGCUUAUUCACUUAGCAUCAUGAUAAGAUUCAUCCGCACUGCAACAUGUUUCAUAAUUCCUCUUCCUUUUUAAGGCUGAAUAAUAUUUCAUUGUAUGUAUAGACCACAUUUUGUUUACCAAUUCAUUGGUCAAUGGACAAUUCCACUUUUUGGAUAUUGUGAAUAGUGCUGCUAUGAACAAGAGUGUACAAACAGCUGUUUGGGUCCUUGCUUUCAAUUCUUGUGGGUAUCUACCCAGAAGUGGAGUUGCUGGAUCAUAUGGUAAUUUUAUGUUUAAUUUUUGAGAAAUCAUCAUCCUGUUUUCCAUAGGACUACACCAUUUUACAUUCCCACUAGUAAUACACAAGGAUUCCAGUUUCUCUAUAUCCUUGCCAACACUUGUUAUUCUGUUUUUUUAAUUGUAGCCAUUCUAAUGGAUGUAAAGGGAUAUCACCCAGUGGUUUUGAUUUGCAUUUCCCACAUAAUUAGUGAAGUUGAGCAUUUUUUCCUAUUAUUGGCCACUUGUAUAUCAUCUUUGAAGACAUGUCUAUUCACAUCCUUUUCCCACUUAUUAAAAUAGGUUGUUUUCUAUUUCAUUUUUCACUCUUAAAUAGCAAUUUUACCCAUAUACAGGUGGUCAUUUAUUCUGGCAAUCUUCCACUGUGUCCCCAGGCAGCGAUCUGAAACAUUUUUAACUUCUCACUUUAUUCAGGUCAUAAAAAUCUUGCUGAACCUGGUAACACUUAAAUUACUGCCCAAAAUGUUCAAUGUAAACUAUCAGAACUGUACUGAAAAGCUUUUCCACAACUCUCCAACACAGCCUAACAAUGUCGAUUGCAAAAAAGAAGUCCAAUUUAUUCUCAAAUCCAAGCACACUCUCAUGUCCUCUAUUCCCAUUAAGCUUGCUUCAUCUGCUUCUUUGUUUCAAUUCAAAAUGGCUUCUUGAACCAGUUAUAGGUACUAUGCCCUUAAAAUUAAUUCCCAAUGUCACUCCACCUCUAGGCUGACAUCAUUUUUCUGAACUUCACCAGCAUUUGCUAUCCAUGCUUCCCAUGUUGAUACACUUACUUUUUGAGUAGCCUUCCAUGAAAUAGACAUGAUUGAUGCACAAAGGCUAAUACUUUUAACAUUUAAUGCCAUUGUCCUCUCCAUCCAAAUACAAUCUCCGUUCUUUUGAAUUUAUCUCAGCAAAUAUUUAAAGCAUCCUUUUAAAAUACUGUGAAAUAUUCUUUUCUGCCCAUUUUCAGAAAAUCAGUAAUUUCUGUAUCCUAAAUACAAAAAUCCUAAUCCUAUAUCUUAAAUACAAUGGUUUCCUCAUGCUAAACAUUGAUAUAAUGAAGAUUAAGAAAGUACAAAGUAAUCAGCAGAGUGUAUGCAAAGUGAAUCAUUCUAUGGAGUAGACAUUAAACAACAUACAAAAACAAUGGAGCAGAGCAUGAGUGAUGAAAACUAUUCAGGUAUAUUUUUAAAUUGGAAAUAUGUGGCCAUGAGGACAAUAUCACUGAAAAGAAUUUGUUAAUCCUACACAGUAGGAAAUAGAACUGCCUGUUUUUAUCAUAUCUACUGAGGAAAAAAGAAACAAAAUAGCCAUGUUUGGGGUCAUAAAAUCUGUCAGUAUCUUGACUAAACUCAAAAACCUGAAAUCAACAUAUCUCACUGGGAACAAAAUUGUCUAAAUAUGAGAAAAUGGGGAUCUAGUUUGUUGUAAUACCACUGGGAUUAAGAAAAAGGGUCACUUUUUUCUUAAUUAAAACAAGAAAAACUGGUAAGAAUUCCAAAGUAAUAAAUUAAAUUAGAGGACUGUGUUUCUGAGCCCAGAAACAGAAAAAUCUCACAAAAUUUAUCAGGUGAGAAUUCCUUAUUUGGAUGAUGAUGAUUCCAAUUUCUGAUCUCCCAAAAUUAAGGAAGUGAGUCAUCUCAUGGGAACUGUCCUCCGUGGAGCUAAGUAAGGUAGCAGAACACAGUUUAAGCACAGGGACUAGAGGUACUGAUAUAUAAAUCAUUAGAAUAAAAAUAUGAGGACUAAGAGUUCAGAAUGGAUGGGUCCUUUAAGUCAAUUCCUGUGGGAAAAGAUGCCCAUAGCCGGGCACGGUGGCUCACGCCUGUAAUCUCAGCACUUUGGGAGGCCAAGCCAGGCGGAACACCUGAGGUCGGGAGUUCGAGACCAGCCUGACCAACAAGGAGAAACCCCGUCUCUACUAGAAAUACAAAAUUAGCCGGGCAUGGUGGUGCAUGCCUGUAAUCACAGCUACUUGGGAGGCUGAGGCAGGAGAAUCACUCAAACCUGGGAGGCGGAGGUUGCGGUGAGCCAAGAUCGUGCCAUUGCACUCCAGCCUGGGCAACAAGAGUGAAACUCUGCCUCAAAAAAAAGAAAAGAUGCCCAUAUGGAAGAACAGGGCCCCAAGCUAGAGGUGCCACAACUGGGAGGAAAAGAAGACAGCAGAUCCAGCAAAGAAAAGAAAAUAAAUAAAAUUAGGGGCAAAAAAACUGGAAAAAAAAGGCAGAAAACUCCAUGGACGUAAAGAGAUAAGCGGUAAGAAAAUGCAACAAACAAAUGAAAAAGCCAAUCAGAUAACAGAUAAGAUGAGAGGCUCUCACCAUUCAGUUAUUAGAAAAAUAACACUUAAGCAAUGAAACAGGCUGGGUGCGGUGGCUCACGCCUAUAAUUCCAGCACUUUGGGAGGCCGAGGUGGGCAGAUCACAAGGUCAGGAGAUCGAGACCAUCCUGGCUAACAGGGUGAAACCCUGUCUCUACUAAAAAUACAAAAAAUUAGCCGAGUGUGGUGGCGGGUGCCUGUAGUCCCAGCUACUCGGGAGGCUGAGGCAGGAGAAUCACUUGAACCCAGGAGGCAGAGGUUGCAGUAAGCCAAGAUCGUGCCACUGCACCCUAGCCUAGGUGACAGAGUGAGACUCUGUCUCAAAAAAACCAAAACCAAAAACAAAAAAAAAUGAAACAGCCCUUUCACCUAUCAGUAGGGCUAUAAAUUCACCAAUUUUGUUAAUGCCAAGUGUUAGCAAGCAAGAUGUGCAAAUGCAAAUCCUUGUGCACUGCACAUGGGGAGUGUGAACUGGUGCAGCCCAUCAGAAG
RNAcentral lists this long non-coding RNA (3182 nucleotides) under Homo sapiens (human). Its description in RNAcentral is "HSALNT0261752". The record is from RNAcentral. Lineage: Eukaryota; Metazoa; Chordata; Mammalia; Primates; Hominidae.